Molecule: ribosomal RNA, 267 nt
Filed under: uncultured bacterium
Lineage: Bacteria
Description: partial 16S ribosomal RNA
Rfam family: Bacterial small subunit ribosomal RNA
Source: RNAcentral
GUCCACGCCGUAAACGAUGUCUACUAGCCGUUGGGAGACUUGAUUUCUUAGUGGCGCAGCUAACGCAAUAAGUAGACCGCCUGGGGAGUACGGCCGCAAGGUUGAAACUCAAAGGAAUUGACGGGAGCCCGCACAAGCAGUGGAGUAUGUGGUUUAAUUCGACGCAACGCGAAAAACCUUACCAAGGAUUGACAUCCCGAGAAGUCGGCGUAAUGGCUGACGUGCCUCUUCGGAGGAAUUCGGUGACAGGUGGUGCAUGGUUGUCGU